GUCUGGAUUUCGGGCAUUGCGGACAUCGGCAAAAUAAUAAGGAACAUCGACCGGGGAACGGGGGGGACUGUUACCGUACGCGUCGGCCCGGCCGGAUUAUCGAUGGGAGCAGAAGGAAAAAAAAAAAAACGUAGUUUUCUUUGCCCGCCUAUAGAGAAAAAAUAAAUAAAUACGCACCGUGACGUAUUUCCCGUACGCACCUGUCCGAAGUUUGAACAAGUGUCGCGCGAAAACGUUUUUUUACACACACAGCGGUUGCACGCGAUACUAAUGUGUGCGUAUGAAUACUCAAUAAGCGUUGUCGCCGUCGCGGAUGGGGGAGGGCGCGCGCACGAACGUUUUGAUGUUCGCCCGUUACGAUUCGCAGCACGCGUCUAAAAACGAAUAAAACGUGUUGCGUGCCGUAGCGGCGGCACGGAAUAGCAGCGAUUUUUCUGAAGCAGCGAUCGUCGCAGACCGCCAUUAUGAUUUUAGUGCUAUCGCACUGCUAUUUGCCACUCACUCCGGUGUGAAAACAAGUGCCCGCAGUACCUAUCAUUACACUCUGAUUCGUGGUCGUGUAAUAUGCAUACAAAAAGUGCAACGUCGAGGCGAGUUGCGACUUGCAGUUACAGCGACAAUUGCUGCGGUACAGUUGUUAAAUAAUUGUGCAUUGUUAUCGUAAUGCGUCCGAAUGGCAGCUGCAGACAUUUUUCAUUGUUACAGUUACUGCUAUUGAAAAAAUAUCACAGUCAGUCGCAAUCCAGGAUAUGUUCCGAAGACUCGUGGCUCAAUGUACGUUAUCACACAUUCAGACGGUAAAUUCACAGAUUUACGGAAUUAUUCUUUAUAUCUAUCUGUGGGUAAAAUAAAAUUACUGCCCGAUUUGCAGAUUGGUUAAGAAAAAUUACACCGCGUUCCGGAAAUUGCAACAGUGUUCGUGAUUUAGAGCAACUUCUCGAAGCCCCACAACUUCCAUCUAGAACAGGCGUUGACAUUUCAUCAGUCAAGUUUGACAACCUCGAAAAACGGUCGCUGUUGGACAUAGACACGUGGUUCAAGGAUUUGUAUUCGAUACGACCAGCGUCGAAUACUGAGCGGCUAACAUGGAGCUCGCACUCUACUAGAACUGCGAUUAGAUAGAUAAUUUCUAUAGUUAACGUGCCGUCAUAUUUUCGAAACGAUUCACCGAGCUGUAAUGAACGAAGCAUAUUGCUUCAAACGUCAUAAUAUAAUAUUAGCCGGAUAAUGAAAUUUUUAAAAGAUUUAAAAAUUCGUGGAAUGAAGUUUAUAUAGGUACAGCAAACAUUUAUUAUCAUUGAUCAAAAUUUAAAAAAAAAAAACCUGUAUUGCCAAUGCGCGAAAUCAUUUUAUCAUUUUGUUUAAUAUAAAUUGCGGAAGAUCAGCCUAGAAAAGAUUACAAAGAAUUCAUCGAAAUUAUUAAGUGUACCUAAUAAGUAAUAAUACUUGAGAGGAUUAAAAUUCGCACGUCUGGAACUUUUGUUUGAAAAUAGUUUUACUUCGAUCGGAAUUUAAAUUAAAUAAAAAGAAUGAAAAUGCUUUGAAUCGAAUUUGUGCAUUUAUUAUUAAAAUUUACAUAAAAUCGUGGUAGGUAAUGCUCCAUGCACCGGUAAUGUACGUUUAAAAAGAUGGGUGUAAAAUUGAUAUGGAAGAAUCCAAUGAAAAAUGCACGAGGAAUGAGAACCAGAAACAGUUUUUAUUACAAGCAAUGAGAUAUUACCUGUCUCAGUCAAAAACGUCUGAAGUCCUCAAAGGUGCCUCCAGACAAAAAGGCCCGCACGCGCCUCAAUAUGGACGGCUAACCGCACGAGACCGCAUGGCAUUAGACGAUCGCUUGGUGGGACCGCACGCAUGGUAGAAAAUGCACCCAAGCUUUGAUACGUUUAUUUAUAUAAAAAAUUGCAAAUGGAAUGCGUAAUUAUCGCGUGAAGGCGAUCGUGGAGGUAUUACUUCUAUUUGGGAUCUGUGAUGUGCCUAUAAUUUCAGCGCCCCAGAGAUUAGUGGUCUAGUUGCGCCUAUGAGUGUAAAAAUAAAAUGGUUAAUCCUGAUAUUUUUGGUGAUUCAAUUUUUUCUAGGAAAUUAAAUUGCAUG
This is a non-coding RNA of Cinara cedri, 2091 nucleotides long. The record is from the annotation of a GenBank genome assembly. NCBI's taxonomy places the organism in Eukaryota, Metazoa, Arthropoda, Insecta, Hemiptera, Aphididae.